CAAUGGCAGGUACAGAGGGAUGCUACCGGGGCGACCGGAUGCGGAUCUCGAAAGCCUGUCCCAGUUCGGACUGGAGUCUGCAACCCGACUCCACGAAGUUGGAUUCGCUAGUAAUCGCGCAUCAGCCAUGGCGCGGUGAAUACGUUCCCGGGCCUUGUACACACCGCCCGUCAAGCCAUGGGAGCCGGGGGCGCCUGAAGUCCGGGACCGCGAGGACCGGCCUAGGGCGAAACUGGUAACUGGGGCUAAGUCGUAACAAGGUACC
Molecule: ribosomal RNA, 265 nt
Filed under: uncultured bacterium
Lineage: Bacteria
Description: partial 16S ribosomal RNA
Rfam family: Bacterial small subunit ribosomal RNA
Source: RNAcentral